RNAcentral lists this ribosomal RNA (253 nucleotides) under uncultured bacterium. Its description in RNAcentral is "partial 16S ribosomal RNA". It matches the Rfam family "Bacterial small subunit ribosomal RNA", at positions 524 to 776 of the family's 1533-position model. The record is from RNAcentral.
UACGUAGGGGGCAAGCGUUAUCCGGAUUUACUGGGUGUAAAGGGAGCGUAGACGGCAGAGCAAGCCAGAAGUGAAAGCCCGGGGCUCAACCCCGGGACUGCUUUUGGAACUGCACAGCUAGAGUACAGGAGAGGUAAGCGGAAUUCCUAGUGUAGCGGUGAAAUGCGUAGAUAUUAGGAGGAACACCAGUGGCGAAGGCGGCUUACUGGACUGAGACUGACGUUGAGGCUCGAAAGCGUGGGGAGCAAACAGG